Corvus hawaiiensis (hawaiian crow) is the source of this 133-nucleotide long non-coding RNA. RefSeq lists it as uncharacterized. The transcript is spliced from 3 exons. NCBI's taxonomy places the organism in Eukaryota, Metazoa, Chordata, Aves, Passeriformes, Corvidae. The record is from RefSeq and is a predicted model, not a curated record.
UUGCUAAGUUGCUGAUUUUCUGAUUUUAUUUGAAUGCAUGCAUUCUAUGUGCCCUUAUAGAUGCAUAUAUAAUACAAAGCUCAGGGAGCUAGCUACCCUGAGCAUAACUUCUUUAAUAUUGGGGUCCUUCCCC